Molecule: unclassified non-coding RNA, 177 nt
Filed under: uncultured Herpotrichiellaceae
Lineage: Eukaryota; Fungi; Ascomycota; Eurotiomycetes; Chaetothyriales; Herpotrichiellaceae
Description: sequence contains ITS2
Source: RNAcentral
UCCUCCCUCAAACCUCGGGUUUGGUGUUGGGCCGCGUGGGUUGCCCCUCAAGGUGACCAACUGGCCUCAAAGGCAAUGGCGGCGUCCGUGGGACCCUCGGUGCAACGAGCUUCUAAGGAGCACGCGUCGAGUUUCAAGGACCUUCCGGGCCGGUCUUCAUUUUCAAAUCAUCACAAA